GCGCGCCUGGUCCAGUGGUUCUUGACAGUUCAACAGUUCUGUAGCACAAUUGUGAAAUGUUUAGGACCACUAGACCCGGC
Mus musculus (house mouse) is the source of this 80-nucleotide non-coding RNA. Lineage: Eukaryota; Metazoa; Chordata; Mammalia; Rodentia; Muridae. The record is from Rfam.